This is a non-coding RNA of Mycena vitilis, 86 nucleotides long. NCBI's taxonomy places the organism in Eukaryota, Fungi, Basidiomycota, Agaricomycetes, Agaricales, Mycenaceae. The record is from the annotation of a GenBank genome assembly.
GCCCACUUGGCUAAGUGGUUGACGGCGCAUCACUUGUAUAACACAUUGCAAUGAUGAGAUCACUCGUUCAAAUCGGGUAGUGGGCA